CCCAGAAUACAAAUGUGAUUACUAUUGGGGAAUGUUUGAUCAAUAGAGAGCAUCGAGCUUACCUGGAUGUGAUUAUUGGUUGUCACAAUCACAGCAGCUUAAGUUACAAGUCUGAAGGUAUUUUGAGUGAUAGCUCAGGUAUCAAAGGAAGACUUUACUUGUAGGAAGACUUGAGAAAUAGCUGAGAAAGAAAGGAUUCUUUGCUGAAGGAGUUGCUAGGCAGGAGGAAUGAGACAACGGGACAUGCUUUUACAUGAUAAACGCCUCCCACUUUAAUCUGAGAAGGGGACAGUUGAGCAGGCUAAACAGUAACAGUUCCGCGUCAUCUUGGUACAUUCCAAGAAAAAUGUGUCCACACAUUGUCGGAACAAGAAAAGAUGUUAAAGAUUUCCCUCGUUCAAUCACUUUUCAGUCACCGCCGGCCUUGUUUUCUAUCACCCUUUUUUCCGUUCACCUUCGUAUAAAUUACCAACUACUGUAAUGGGUUGGAAAGAGCAGGGAUCAAUCAAUCCCCUCGAUCAUGUGUAGGGCUUCCGAAUUUUUUAUAGGUCUAUAUGUGUGUAUUAUCUCUUAAUUUCUCUUUUUAGUUCAUGUUUUUGCUUGAAAAAUAAAUAUAUAAUAUUCAAUCAUUUAUUUUAUUUUUUUACAAGAUUAUUUAAUUUAUUACUGUAUAUAUUUAAUAUUUACGUUUUUUACUUAAGCCCUAAAUCUAUCUACUUCUAUAUAUUAAAAGAGGACCAGGGGCAAAAAAAACACCAGUGAAAUUACACAUAUAACCUCAGUUUACACAUAAUUUCUACAAUGCCAUCGGCUCUUGGAUUUCUUAGUGACCUCUGACUGUUUCUCCGAUUUGUGUAAAGACGGAAUUGAUUUAUCCCAACAGGAGUGAGCGAUACCAUUUUGUGUUGGUUUGUCAGAACUCGGAACCGUUGUCAUUUGUAUACUUGCCAGCUUUCUGCGUAGCUCUUUGGAAAUUGGGAGAUGGGGGCCUGGCGCCGGAGAAUCAUAGGGGAGGAUAUGGACGGCCUGCUCGGAGGCGACGCAAUCGUUAAUCAAGGGAAUGUUCCAGCCAGGAAGAGGGGACGUCCUUCGGUUCCUGUUACCGAGGAGGUGCUGGAGCGUAGAAGGUUAUCAAGGCAGAGGGCUAAUGCUUCUCGUCCAUAAAGUUUUUGUUCCUGCGGUAUUAUUGGGAGAAUCAAAGUUGAAGGUCAAUGAUCAAAUGUUCAAAGAAAAACAAGCAACUAGGCAGGCACACUCACUAAGCGGUGCACAGGAGGUGAUUGCAACAUGAAAGUAUAGCGCUUCGGUUCUUUAAUCUGUCGGCAAACUUUAGGUUCUUAAUUACAUUGGUACUCCGCCAUACAUGUGAGGCCACAAUAGUGGCAAUAAUGGAAGGCGAGGGGUGGUACUACAGUUGUGGCCCCCGAUGCUCACGUAAAGUAAAAACUAUUGAUAGAAAUUAUUACUACACACAUUACUUAAAGGAAGCGCCAGACUUCAAGCCACGGUACAUGACCAUGCGGGUGGAGGACGCCACGGCGAAAACAACUUUCACCCUCUUCAAUAAAGGCGUAAGAGAUCAUCGCCGUACCAGUGGACAAAAUUCUCAAUGAAAUUCCCGAAGUAAUAGACAUUUCAUUGACAUCAAUAAAAUACAUAUCAAUUGUACCAUUUACUUACCGCUUACUACUUUUGUUCUUACGCCGGGUACCAACAUUGUUGAAAUACCCUAUGUUAUGGAACGUUGUGUGUGGUUACGAA
Molecule: long non-coding RNA, 1761 nt
Organism: Daucus carota subsp. sativus
Lineage: Eukaryota; Viridiplantae; Streptophyta; Magnoliopsida; Apiales; Apiaceae
Exons: 6
Source: RefSeq, a predicted model, not a curated record